CCGGCACGGGUGAGUAACACGUAUCCAACCUGCCGUCUACUCUUGGCCAGCUCUGAAAGGAAGAUUAAUCCAGGAUGGCAUCAUGAGUUCACAUGUCCGCAUGAUUAAAGGUAUUUUCCGGUAGACGAUGGGGAUGCGUUCAUUAGAUAGUAGGCGGGGUAACGGCCCACCUAGUCAACGAUGGAUAGGGGUUCUGAGAGGAAGGUCCCCCACAUUGGAACUGAGACACGGUCCAA
RNAcentral lists this ribosomal RNA (236 nucleotides) under uncultured bacterium. Its description in RNAcentral is "partial 16S ribosomal RNA". It matches the Rfam family "Bacterial small subunit ribosomal RNA", at positions 100 to 334 of the family's 1533-position model. The record is from RNAcentral.